This 567-nucleotide long non-coding RNA is filed under the name Mytilus galloprovincialis (Mediterranean mussel). Lineage: Eukaryota; Metazoa; Mollusca; Bivalvia; Mytilida; Mytilidae. The record is from RNAcentral.
CCCCGGAGAUUGUUCCUGAUAAGAUUAACUUAUAUACUAUAUUAGGCUUUUAGUAUUCGAAUUAUUUUGAAAAGAAAGAUAUGGGGUCAAUUCAGAUGAAAGCAUAUUGUCUUGAAAUUACAUUUAUCAAAUAACUUUGAUACAGAAGAAGGCACAACUGUUGCUACACGCGUAUCUUCCAACGGUUUAUAAGAAAACUAUAUUUAGGUCUUUCCACUUUUCCGUGGAAAGACCUAUUGGAUUUCUUCUGAUUAUUAGGUCUUUCCACCUUUCCGUGGAAAGACCUAUAGGGUUUGUUCUGAUUAUUAAGUCUUUCCACUUUUCUGUGGAAAGACUUAUUGUUUUUGUUCUGAUUAUUAUUAUUAUUAGGUCUUUCCACCUUUCCGUGGAAAGACCUAUUGUAUUUGUUCUGAUUAUUAUUAUUUUUUUUUUUUUUUUUUUCUCCACCUAAUUUUUUUCUUGCGUAUAUUGAUUGUUUCAAAAGAUGUGGCUUAGAUAUUUGGAAUAUGAUAUCGUAAAGUGUAUGCGCUUUUAAAACUGACAACUGCGUAACCAAAUACUUUGCGU